AAUGUACAUAGGCUUGAGAGAGAAGAAAAAGAGUAAAGGGACAGUCAAUGUAAUAUAAAUAGAUUAAAGAAGUAAAGAUAAUAAAAUAAAUAUUAAUAAGUAAAAAGUAAUAGAGUAAGAAAAGUAAGAAAAAAGGCUCUUCUUUUGUUUCAACAAAGGAGGAGAUCCUGUGGAAUCAUUAGAGACUAAUAUGGUUUUAUGGAACAAGAGCCACUGAAAGGUUGCCAUGAAUACCCCCCCAGAAAUUACUCCACCCAACUACUGACUUUGAUGAAUCUAGCACACAAGAUAUACCAUGAAAGACUUGAUAAACAGUGCCCUAGUCAAUAUGAAGUAGUCUAGAGAACUAUGCCCAAAUUUCCAAAUAUUGUUUAUAAUCAUUUCUUUACAUUUAAAUGGGGAUAUGCUAUAAAGAUUUGCAUGGAUAUGGAUCUUGGUUUAUUGAUACAAAUUUAAGGUCAAUUUUGUUAUACUGUGUAUAUAUAUUUUUCUGCUCUUGAUUAAGGUAUUGUGAUUGUGAAGCUCAUUUAAAAAUGUAAUGUAUAAUUAAGAAAUGUAGGUAAAUAGAGAGUAAUCUAUAAUAGUCAAGCUUCUAAUCAUGUUAUUUAGGUUUCCUAGACAUAUAGAGAUAUAAUUAAACUAUAUAGGUGAUUUUCAAACUUUUCAAAGACCUACAGAAUAUGGCAUUUAAAUGUUUUAAGAACUUAGGACUUUUCAUUACAAUGAGACACAUAUGCUCCUGGCAGCACCAAUCUUCUUCAAGAGGAAGAUGAAUGGGCAUUGGAGAGGCUCCUUAUGGAGUUGAUUAGCCAUUUGGGGAAGAAACUGCUCUUUCCUGGACUGAUUGAUGGUAUGCUAUGUGAACUGGACCCACAGAGAAAUGACUGCUGAACUUGUCUAAAGCAGGGCAGAACAGAGGUAGGCAGAGAAGACAGAACUGAAUGCUGGGAGAAAGAAGGGCAGAGUAGAAAGCAGUCAUGGAGCUGCUGCUGGAGACAGAAGUGCUGAACACACCAUGAAGGCCACAACUUCAUGGUGAUCCGCAGAUUAAUGGAGGUGCGUUACACAUGCAUAUCAUCAUGUGUGUGGAGAUUGGAGCACAAAUUAUGUUCUCUCCUUCUAUCAGGUGGGUUCCAGGGAUGGAACUCAUAACACCUACUUGGAAGCAGGAACUGCUAACCACCAAGCUGCCUCAUCAACCCCCAUGGACCCAUCCUGCCUCUCAUUCUACCCUCAUUCACUCCUCAGAAGGCGUAAGGCAUCUCUUGGAGAGUCAAGAAGUCAAGCAUAUCAAGUUGAGCCUGGACCAGUCCGCUCCCCCUGUAUCCAGGCUAUUUGGUUCUUUACAUAAUCUCUAUUUUUUAUUUUUAAUUUAAAAAACCUAUAUUUUAUUAUUAUACACACCCAAUCCAAGUUCCCACUCCCUCCACCCCUCCCAUUUCCCCCACUAAACCCCCAACCCCACAUCCACUCCUCAGACAGGGUAAGGCACAUUGCUUUGGGGAAGGUCCAAGGCCAUCCCUUCUAUAUCUAGACUGAGCAAGGUAUCCACCUAAAGAGAAAAGGUUCCCAAAAGCCAGUACAAGUAGUAGGGAUAAAUUAUGGUGCCCAUUCCAGUGGUCCCGCAGUCUUCUCCAGCCAUGCAACUGUCAGCCACAUUCAGAGGGACUAAUUUUGCCCUAUGCUUUUUCCUUCCUAGUCUGGCUGAUGUUGGUGAGCUCCUGUUAGCUCAGGUAGACUGUUUUAGUGGGUAUACCCAUCAUGGUCUUGAGCUCUUUGCUAAUAUUCUCGCUCCUCCCACUUUUAAACUUGACUUUGGGAGCUCAGUCCAGUGCUCCAAUGUGGGUCUCUGCCUCUGUUUACAUCAGUUGCUAGAUGAAUGUUCUAUGGUGAUAUUUAAGAUAUUCAACAGUCUGACUCCAGGGCAAGGCCAGUUUGGGCACUCUCUCCUCUAUUGCUUAGGGUCUUAGCUGUGGUCAUCCUUGUGGAUUCCUGAGAAUUUCUCUAGAGCCGGUUUUCUUGCAAACCCCACAAUGGCUCCCUCAAUCAAGAUAUCUCUUUACUUGCUCUCAUAUCUGUCUUCCUCCAUCUCUACUAUCUUAUUCCCUCAAGUUCUCGUCAACCCUCCCCUUCUUCCCUCCUUAACCACUUCUCGCUUUCUUUUUUCCUCCACCCCUAUGUUCCCUCUUUUGUCAGGUGAUCUUCUCUAUUUUGACUUUCCAUGUGGAACUAUCUAUGUUUUUCUUAGGGCUCACUACAUUACUUAGCUUAUCUAGGAUCAUGAACUAUAGGCUCAAUAUCCUUUGUUUAUAGCUAAUAUUCACUUAUGAGUGAGUACAUACCAUAUUCAUCUUUUUGCAUCUGGGUUACCUCACUCUAGAUGGUGUUUUCUAGUUUCAUCCAUUUGCAUGAAAAUUUAAGAUGUCAUUUUUUUUUUACCACUGAGUAGUACUCUAAUGUGUAAAUUGCCACAUUUUCUUUAUCCAUUCUUCAGUUGAGGGACAUCUAGGUUGUUUCCAGGUACUGGAUAUUAUAAACAAU
Alexandromys fortis (reed vole) is the source of this 2541-nucleotide long non-coding RNA. RefSeq lists it as uncharacterized. Lineage: Eukaryota; Metazoa; Chordata; Mammalia; Rodentia; Cricetidae. The record is from RefSeq and is a predicted model, not a curated record. The transcript is spliced from 4 exons.